CACAAUUGUGAAAAACCCCCUGCAGUUCAAACUGCUCAAAAACUGCCACUGCGUAUUGGUACACGGGCCCACGUACCGGUACACAUCCCACGAAAAUGCCAAACCCGAGCCUCUGGUUGGCUAGGAAGCUGCCUGUGUACCGGUACACAAUCCCCUACCGGUACAACCAUCAACCCUGUACCGGUACAGCCAUCAACCCUGUACCAGUACACAGCCCAAUGAAGGCUACCCGAGAGCUAACCAAAAAUUCGAUUUUUCGGAUUUUGGUGCCAAGCUUUAAACCUCACUUCUCGGGAUUCGAACCAUAGGUCGGAACAGUGUCAACGACCCACCAGAAAGUCUG
This 343-nucleotide long non-coding RNA is filed under the name Ananas comosus (pineapple). Its description in RNAcentral is "long non-coding RNA (ACOM_LNC033141)". Lineage: Eukaryota; Viridiplantae; Streptophyta; Magnoliopsida; Poales; Bromeliaceae. The record is from RNAcentral.